AUGACCCUUAAUCAAGGUCGGUAGUUUUCUGAAGCUGUUGGUUUCAAGCAGGAGCCUAAAGAGAUAUCUUUCUAUGGUCUUUUGGCCAUUUCAGAACUUUACAAAUGUAAUUUUCAAUUCAUUAGAAAAAAAAAAAA
Molecule: small nucleolar RNA, 137 nt
Organism: Cavia porcellus (domestic guinea pig)
Lineage: Eukaryota; Metazoa; Chordata; Mammalia; Rodentia; Caviidae
Source: Ensembl